Long non-coding RNA from Phyllostomus hastatus (greater spear-nosed bat), 326 nucleotides. RefSeq lists it as uncharacterized. The record is from RefSeq and is a predicted model, not a curated record. The transcript is spliced from 4 exons. Lineage: Eukaryota; Metazoa; Chordata; Mammalia; Chiroptera; Phyllostomidae.
GAUCCAAAGAGAUUAGGUAACUUGCCAAAGUCACACAAGAAGAAAGUAAAAGGUUUGAAUCCAGAUCUUUAACUCAAAAGUAUAUACCACUUGCCAGAGGGAGGCUUCUGAAAUACUGCAUUUUAAAUUCUUCAUUAUUUAUUGUUCCUGCUUCAAGUAAUCCAGCCAAGUAUUCCAUUGUUACCGGCUUUCUCAUCUACUCAUCCACUGACGGGCACUCGGGUCUCCAGACCUUAGCUGUUGCACAUAACACUGCUAUGAACAUAUGGAGAGGGGAAAGGAAGGACAAAGAGGGAGAGAAACAUCGAUGUGUGAGAGAUACAUUG